This 32-nucleotide non-coding RNA is filed under the name Homo sapiens (human). The record is from RNAcentral. Lineage: Eukaryota; Metazoa; Chordata; Mammalia; Primates; Hominidae.
UGCCAAGUACUGUCCUAAGAGAUGGGACUAUA